CCUACGGGAGGCAGCAGUGAGGAAUAUUGGUCAAUGGACGCAAGUCUGAACCAGCCAAGUAGCGUGAGGGAUGACUGCCCUAUGGGUUGUAAACAUCUUUUAUAUGGGGAUAAAGGGUUCCACGUGUGGAUUUUUGUAUGUACCAUAUGAAUAAGGAUCGGCUAACUCCGUGCCAGCAGCCGCGGUAAUACGGAGGAUCCGAGCGUUAUCCGGAUUUAUUGGGUUUAAAGGGAGCGUAGGUGGAUUGUUAAGUGAGUUGUGAAAUUUUGUGGCUCAACCGUAAAAUUGCAGUUGAAACUGGCAGUCUUGAGUACAGUAGAGGUGGGCGGAAUUCGUGGUGUAGCAGUGAAAUGCUUAGAUAUCACGAAGAACUCCGAUUGCGAAGGCAGCUCACUGGACUGCAACUGACACUGAGGCUCGAAAGUGUGGGUAUCAAACAGGAUUAGAUACCCUAGUAGUC
RNAcentral lists this ribosomal RNA (460 nucleotides) under uncultured bacterium. Its description in RNAcentral is "partial 16S ribosomal RNA". It matches the Rfam family "Bacterial small subunit ribosomal RNA", at positions 338 to 795 of the family's 1533-position model. The record is from RNAcentral.